This 456-nucleotide ribosomal RNA is filed under the name uncultured Anaerolineaceae bacterium. Its description in RNAcentral is "bacterial SSU rRNA". It matches the Rfam family "Bacterial small subunit ribosomal RNA", at positions 916 to 1381 of the family's 1533-position model. The record is from RNAcentral. Lineage: Bacteria; Bacillati; Chloroflexota; Anaerolineae; Anaerolineales; Anaerolineaceae.
GACGGGACCCGCACAAGCAGCGGAGCGUGUGGUUUAAUUCGAUGCUACACGAAGAACCUUACCAAGGUUUGACAUGUAAGUGGUAGUGAUCUGAAAAGUGAACGACCCUUCGGGGAGCUUACACAGGUGCUGCAUGGCUGUCGUCAGCUCGUGUCGUGAGAUGUUCGGUUAAGUCCGCUAACGAGCGCAACCCUCACUGUGUGUUACAUGUGUCACACGGGACUGCCGGUUUUAAGCCGGAGGAAGGCGAGGAUGACGUCAAGUCAGCAUGGCCUUUAUAUCUUGGGCUACACACACGCUACAAUGGUCUGUACAAUAGGUUGCCAAGCCGCGAGGCGGAGCCAAUCCUUAAAGCAGGCCUCAGUUCAGAUUGCAGGCUGCAACCCGCCUGCAUGAAGAUGGAGUUGCUAGUAACCGCAGGUCAGCUAUACUGCGGUGAAUACGUUCCCGGGUCUU